UGGGGGAUAUUGCACAAUGGGCGAAAGCCUGAUGCAGCGACGCCGCGUGGGGGAUGAAGGCCUUCGGGUUGUAAACUUCUUUUGCUCUGAACAAGGCAUGCCUUUGGGGUGUGUUGAGUGUAGGGGUUGAUUAGCGCCGGCUAACUACGUGCCAGCAGCCGCGGUAAUACGUAGGGCGCGAGCGUUGUCGGGAAUGAUUGGGCGUAAAGGGCUUGUAGGUGGCUGGUUGCGUCUGUCGUGAAAGCUCAUGGCUUAACUGUGGGUUUGCGGUGGGUACGGGCUGGCUUGAGUGCAGUAAGGGAGGCUGGAAUUCCUGGUGUAGCGGUGGAAUGCGCAGAUAUCAGGAGGAAUACCGGUGGCGAAGGCGGGUCUCUGGGCUGUUACUGACGCUGAGGAGCGAAAGCGUGGGGAGCGAACAGG
RNAcentral lists this ribosomal RNA (420 nucleotides) under Fusobacteriota bacterium. RNAcentral describes it as "Fusobacteria bacterium partial 16S ribosomal RNA". It matches the Rfam family "Bacterial small subunit ribosomal RNA", at positions 355 to 776 of the family's 1533-position model. The record is from RNAcentral. Lineage: Bacteria; Fusobacteriati; Fusobacteriota.